UACAGAGGUCUCAAGCGUUGUUCGGAUUUACUGGGCGUAAAGGGCGCGUAGGCGGCCUGUGCAAGUCAGUUGUGAAAUCUCCGAGCUUAACUCGGAACGGUCAACUGAUACUGCUCAGCUAGAGUGCGGAAGGGGCAACUGGAAUUCUUGGUGUAGCGGUGAAAUGCGUAGAUAUCAAGAGGAACACCUGCGGCGAAGGCGGGUUGCUGGGCCGACACUGACGCUGAGGCGCGAAGGUCAGGGGAGCAAACGGG
Molecule: ribosomal RNA, 254 nt
Filed under: uncultured bacterium
Lineage: Bacteria
Description: partial 16S ribosomal RNA
Rfam family: Bacterial small subunit ribosomal RNA
Source: RNAcentral